Molecule: long non-coding RNA, 878 nt
Filed under: Carica papaya (papaya)
Lineage: Eukaryota; Viridiplantae; Streptophyta; Magnoliopsida; Brassicales; Caricaceae
Description: long non-coding RNA (CPAP_LNC013546)
Source: RNAcentral
AUUAUUGUAGCAAGUUCCAGAAACUAAAAUUGUAAUUGUUGCACUUAAAUGACACCCUUGUUCAGGUAAACAGAUAUUUCUCAUCCCAUUCCAUUUCUGGUUUACAUUUCUUUUCAAAAUUUCGUAGUCAACUAUUAGAAUAAUGUGUUGAGAAUGUUAGAAAUUAUUUUCCAGCCAUAAAACAAAUUACAAACUCGAAUCUAACUCAUAAUCACCAUCUAGCUUUGCAUGUUCAGUCACUGUGAGUUACAGAAAAGAAUCUUCAAAAUUCCAACAAUUCUUUCAUGCAUUUAUAAGAUAAGAUGGGUAAAAAUCUUGUUAAUUCAUGUUAUGAGAAUUCUAGAUGCAUUGGAUGAUAAAUUGCUUGAAGUGGUCUGGUGUUGCUGCAUGUGUUAAAUUGAUAUGUGCAUGUGUAAUGAAUUAUGAUUUUUGCUAAAUUGAAAUGAUUAUUUGAUGCAUAAGUGAAUUAAAUGAAUUGAUAUAGGUGGUUGAUGUUUAGAAAAUGAAGAAACAUGAAAAAUUUUGAAGAGCAUAAGCUCAAUUGUUUAUGUCGCAAGCAUGCGACACCAAGGUGCUGCUGUUGAUGAACGUAUGCUGUUCUGAAGCAUGCGUAUGUGCGUAGGACAUUUUUGGACACCCAAAAAAGUCUGGAAAUGCCCAUGGGCAUGGGUAUGCACGGUAAUGUUGUGCAGGUCGAUUGAAAGGCACUGCCACACUAAUUGUGCCGAGAGUGCUAUGUGGGCAUGCUCAUGGCACUAUCAUGUAUGCUGGUGCACGUAUACACAUAGGGGUUGUGUGUGGAGUGCCACUGCAUUCCAGCAUCUGUCCCGCGGCUAAUUGUAUUUUGUAGCAAGCUUUGCAUCUCGUGCUGACCUUCC